AGAGUUGUAUCUUUGCUCAGGACGAACGCUGGCGGCGUGCCUAACACAUGCUUUUCGAACGAAGCUGCAGGGAAUGAGACUCCGGUCAAAGGAACUGUAGACUUAGUGGCGGACGGGUGAGUAACGCGUGAGCAACCUGCCUUUCAGAGGGGGAUAACAGUUGGAAACGACUGCUAAUACCGCAUAACAUAUAUUUAAGGCAUCUUAGAUAUAUCAAAGCUGAGGCGCUGAGAGAUGGGCUCGCGUCCGAUUAUAUAGUUGGUGAGGUAACGGCUCACCAAGUCGACGAUCGGUAGCCGGACUGAGAGGUUGAACGGCCACAUUGGGACUGAGACACGGCCCAGACUCCUACGGGAGGCAGCAGUGGGGGAUAUUGCACAAUGGGGGAAACCCUGAUGCAGCAACGCCGCGUGAGGGAAGACGGUCUUCGGAUUGUAAACCUUUGUCUUUGGUGAAGAAGAAAGUGACGGUAGCCAAGGAGGAAGCCACGGCUAACUACGUGCCAGCAGCCGCGGUAAUACGUAGGUGGCAAGCGUUGUCCGGAAUUACUGGGUGUAAAGGGAGCGCAGGCGGGAAUGCAAGUUGGAUGUGAAAUACCGCAGCUUAACUGCGGAGCUGCAUCCAAAACUGUGUUUCUUGAGUGAAGUAGAGGUAGGCGGAAUUCCGAGUGUAGCGGUGAAAUGCGUAGAUAUUCGGAGGAACACCGGUGGCGAAGGCGGCCUACUGGGCUUUUACUGACGCUGAGGCUCGAAAGUGUGGGGAGCAAACAGAAUUAGAUACCCUGGUAGUCCACACUGUAAACGAUGAAUACUAGGGUGUGGGGGGACUGACCCCUUCCGUUCCCGCAGUUAACACAAUAAGUAUUCCACCGGGGGAGUACGACCGCAAAGUUUGAAAUUCAAAGGAAUUGACGGGGGCCCGCACAAAGCAGGGGAUUAUGUGGUUUAAUUGGACGCAACGCGAAGACCCUUACCAGGGUUUGACAUCCAACUAAACGAAGCAGAGAUGCAUUAGGUGCCUUUCGGGGAAAGUUGAGACAGGUGGUGCAUGGUUGUCGUCAGCUCGUGUCGUGAGAUGUUGGGUUAAGUCCCGCAACGAGCGCAACCCCUAUUGUUAGUUGCUACGAAAGAGCACUCUAGCGAGACUGCCGUUGACAAAACGGAGGAAGGCGGGGACGACGUCAAAUCAUCAUGCCCCUUAUGUCCUGGGCUACACACGUAAUACAAUGGUGGCCAACAGAGGGAAGCAAAGCCGCGAGGCAGAGCAAAACCCUAAAAGCCAUCUCAGUUCGGAUUGCAGGCUGCAACUCGCCUGCAUGAAGCUGGAAAAACUAGUAAUCGCGGAUCAGAAAGCCGCGGUGAAUA
This 1364-nucleotide ribosomal RNA is filed under the name uncultured bacterium. Its description in RNAcentral is "bacterial SSU rRNA". It matches the Rfam family "Bacterial small subunit ribosomal RNA", at positions 8 to 1368 of the family's 1533-position model. The record is from RNAcentral.